UGCAACAUUUAACAAAUACAAAAUAAGUCUUAGAUUUCUAGAACUGUCAGUACACAGGAUUCCCAAGUUGCUCUAUACAGAGAAGCAGGUUCAUCAAUUUUCAAGGAAAGCCACAUAGUCGGUCAAUCUGGCCAACUGCUGUUCAUUUGGAAUUGGUGGAACUGGAGCAGGUUCUGAUGAAGGAAUAAAUCUGUUAAAGGAAGCGUCCAGUACACCUGGCUUUUUAGGCAUUACCAUACGAGUGGAGAAGUCUGCUUGCCAGCCCUGUUCUAAUACACCUUUCACAGCUUCUU
This 293-nucleotide long non-coding RNA is filed under the name Gallus gallus (chicken). Lineage: Eukaryota; Metazoa; Chordata; Aves; Galliformes; Phasianidae. The record is from RNAcentral.